This 913-nucleotide ribosomal RNA is filed under the name uncultured Bacteroidota bacterium. Its description in RNAcentral is "bacterial SSU rRNA". It matches the Rfam family "Bacterial small subunit ribosomal RNA", at positions 1 to 918 of the family's 1533-position model. Lineage: Bacteria; Pseudomonadati; Bacteroidota. The record is from RNAcentral.
UAGAGUUUGAUCCUGGCUCSGGAUGAACGCUAGCGGCAGGCCUAAUACAUGCAAGUCGAGGGGCAGCACAGGUAGCAAUACUGGGUGGCGACCGGCAAACGGGUGCGGAACACGUACGCAACCUUCCUUUAAGCGGGGAAUAGCCCAGAGAAAUUUGGAUUAAUACCCCAUAAGAAUGUGACCUGGCAUCAGGAAGCAUUUAAAGAUUUAUCACUUAAAGAUGGGCGUGCGUCUGAUUAGGUAGUUGGUGAGGUGACGGCUCACCAAGCCGACGAUCAGUAACUGGCGUGAGAGCGCGACCAGUCACACGGGCACUGAGACACGGGCCCGACUCCUACGGGAGGCAGCAGUAAGGAAUAUUGGUCAAUGGACGCAAGUCUGAACCAGCCAUGCCGCGUGGAGGAUGAAGGCCCUCUGGGUUGUAAACUUCUUUUAUCUGGGACGAAACACUUCCUUUCUAGGGAGCUUGACGGUACCAGGUGAAUAAGCACCGGCUAACUCCGUGCCAGCAGCCGCGGUAAUACGGAGGGUGCAAGCGUUAUCCGGAUUCACUGGGUUUAAAGGGUGCGUAGGCGGACAUGUAAGUCCGUGGUGAAAUCUCCGAGCUUAACUCGGAAACUGCCAUGGAUACUAUAUGUCUUGAAUGUUGUGGAGGUUAGCGGAAUAUGUCAUGUAGCGGUGAAAUGCAUAGAUAUGACAUAGAACACCAAUUGCGAAGGCAGCUGGCUACACAAAUAUUGACGCUGAGGCACGAAAGCGUGGGGAUCAAACAGGAUUAGAUACCCUGGUAGUCCACGCCCUAAACGAUGAUUACUCGACAUACGUGAUACACAAUGUGUGUCUGAGCGAAAGCAUUAAGUAAUCCACCUGGGAAGUACGACCGCAAGGUUGAAACUCAAAUGAAUUGACGGGG